GACGAACGCUGGCGGCGUGCUUAACACAUGCAAGUCGAACGGAAAGGCCCUGCUUUUGUGGGGUGCUCGAGUGGCGAACGGGUGAGUAACACGUGAGUAACCUGCCCUUGACUUUGGGAUAACUUCAGGAAACUGGGGCUAAUACCGGAUAGGAGCUCCUGCUGCAUGGUGGGGGUUGGAAAGUUUCGGCGGUUGGGGAUGGACUCGCGGCUUAUCAGCUUGUUGGUGGGGUAGUGGCUUACCAAGGCUUUGACGGGUAGCCGGCCUGAGAGGGUGACCGGCCACAUUGGUACUGAGAUACGGCCCAGACUCCUACGGGAGGCAGCAGUGGGGAAUAUUACACAAUGGGCGGAAGCCUGAUGCAGCAACGCCGCGUGCGGGAUGACGGCCUUCGGGUUGUAAACCGCUUUCGCCUGUGACGAAGCGUGAGUGACGGUAAUGGGUAAAGAAGCACCGGCUAACUACGUG
Molecule: ribosomal RNA, 468 nt
Filed under: uncultured bacterium
Lineage: Bacteria
Description: partial 16S ribosomal RNA
Rfam family: Bacterial small subunit ribosomal RNA
Source: RNAcentral